GUUUAGUGAAACAGAGAGGUGUCUGUGGAAGACAGAAUAAAGGCCCCCAAAGAUGCCCAUGUCCUAACCCCAGAACCUGUAAACGUUGUCUCUUUGCUUUCCUGAUGGCAUCAUUUGCAGAACAAAAGUUUUAGCAUAUGAUACCAUUUUUCCCUCAAAGCACUGCAAAGAGAAAGCGCUGGUAACGGACACACCUGCCACUUUUUCUGUGGGACUCCCCCGUCUCAGAGCCAACUGCAGACGUGGCUCCAUGAGGAGGGCAAUUCAACUGUUCAGGAAGGAGGUGGGGUGUCGUAUCUCCACAGGCAGCACAGGGCGGACGGCUGCCACCUACCAGGAAAGGAGCAGAAGCCACCACAGACUCAGGCCUUUGAACAGCUGAUGAAGAGGGUGCAGUUCAUCAGUUCCAGCACAGUCUCCCCUGUGUCUCAAGGAGUCGGACAUGAGACUGAUCAGAGUGACAGCAAGAAGCAAAUAAGCUCAUUUGAAAAAAGGUAGAAAAGGGGGUUUUCCUAUAAUGCUCACUUAAAUCUGCCAUAAAUUAAAAGGGGUCAGUUGUAUUGCAUAAAAGUCUUUGGUGGUGAUGACUCUGCAGUGCAUACAGAUGUUGAAUUACAAUGAAACUUACAUAAUGUUAUGCACCAAUUAUAUGUAAUAUGGACCAACUUAUAUAUUGUUAUAUGCC
Molecule: long non-coding RNA, 685 nt
Organism: Phyllostomus hastatus (greater spear-nosed bat)
Lineage: Eukaryota; Metazoa; Chordata; Mammalia; Chiroptera; Phyllostomidae
Exons: 3
Source: RefSeq, a predicted model, not a curated record